AUGGAGUGUGACAGUUCUUGGUCUUCGUCGGAAGAGUGAUCCUGACGCGGGGCCGGGGUACUGAAUUUGGAGGAUUUUUUAUGUUUGGCAGACGCCUUACCCUUGGCUGGUUUGGGUGUAUUGUCCUUGCCUCUUCCGUGGCGUUUACUGGGACGGUAGUCCUCCCUGGCAUGGUAGUCCGAGACAUCGGAGUCUGACUCGUGGCGUGGGCGUCUGCGAGAAGAUUUGGGUAAAUCCAGAGCCG
This is a non-coding RNA of Pelobates cultripes (western spadefoot toad), 244 nucleotides long. The record is from the annotation of a GenBank genome assembly. Lineage: Eukaryota; Metazoa; Chordata; Amphibia; Anura; Pelobatidae.